GUCUCUUAACAUGUUGGUGUUUUUCGCUCUGGUUAAGUCUUUGUCUUAGAUUGUUGCCUUCUAGGUCGCUUUAAUGGUGUGUGAAAGGUGAAAGCUUUAAGCUUCGUUUCUAUCUCUUUGAGAACAAUAAGGAGUGGUGACGAAUUGUGACUUCAAUCUCUUCGUCUCUGAUGGAUUAUAUUUCAUGGAUUCACUUUUGGUGAUAGUCUAGAAGAGAGUAACUGAGUUAGAGGAACAAGCAGAGAGAAUUUGGAGCCAGACUCAUUAAGCUCCUAAGCUUAGAACAGCCGUGACUUUAAGACGUAUCCAUUCUAGUUUUGUCCAGUUUUAUAGCUGGUGCUUACAAGGGAGUUGUAUACUUACUUACUAGCUCAAGCAAAGCAACAAUGUGGUGGACAGAUUACUUCUAAGAUGAAUGGAAUGGUUUGAACAGAAGAAGACAGUAGCAGUAUUGAGAUGGAAUUUAGUGCAUCAAGGCAAGAAGAAUUUGUUUCAAAAUCCCAAACAUACUAAUCGAA
Molecule: non-coding RNA, 518 nt
Organism: Camelina sativa (false flax)
Lineage: Eukaryota; Viridiplantae; Streptophyta; Magnoliopsida; Brassicales; Brassicaceae
Source: RefSeq, a predicted model, not a curated record